This 523-nucleotide ribosomal RNA is filed under the name uncultured bacterium. RNAcentral's name for it is "bacterial SSU rRNA". It matches the Rfam family "Bacterial small subunit ribosomal RNA", at positions 777 to 1297 of the family's 1533-position model. The record is from RNAcentral.
AAUAGAUACCCACGGUAGUCCACGCCGUAAACGAUGAGUGCUAAGUGUUAGAGGGUUUCCGCCCUUUAGUGCUGCAGCUAACGCAUUAAGCACUCCGCCUGGGGAGUACGGCCGCAAGGCUGAAACUCAAAGGAAUUGACGGGGGCCCGCACAAGCGGUGGAGCAUGUGGUUUAAUUCGAAGCAACGCGAAGAACCUUACCAGGUCUUGACAUCCUCUGCCAACCCUAGAGAUAGGGCGUUCCCCUUCGGGGGACAGAGUGACAGGUGGUGCAUGGUUGUCGUCAGCUCGUGUCGUGAGAUGUUGGGUUAAGUCCCGCAACGAGCGCAACCCUUGAUCUUAGUUGCCAGCAUUCAGUUGGGCACUCUAAGGUGACUGCCGGUGACAAACCGGAGGAAGGUGGGGAUGACGUCAAAUCAUCAUGCCCCUUAUGACCUGGGCUACACACGUGCUACAAUGGAUGGUACAAAGAGUUGCGAACCCGCGAGGGUAAGCCAAUCUCAUAAAGCCAUUCUCAGUUCGGA